RNAcentral lists this ribosomal RNA (379 nucleotides) under uncultured crenarchaeote. RNAcentral's name for it is "bacterial SSU rRNA". It matches the Rfam family "Archaeal small subunit ribosomal RNA", at positions 471 to 851 of the family's 1478-position model. Lineage: Archaea; Thermoproteati; Thermoproteota. The record is from RNAcentral.
UAAAACCAGCACCUCAAGUGGUCAGGAUGAUUAUUGGGCCUAAAGCACCCGUAGCCGGCUCUGUAAGUUUUCGGUUAAAUCUGUACGCUUAACGUACAGGCUGCUGGAAAUACUGCAAGGCUAGGGAGUGGGAGAGGUAGACGGUACUCGGGAGGAAGUGGUAAAAUGCUUUGAUCUCUCGAUGACACCUGUGGCGAAGGCGGUCUACCAGAACACGUCCGACGGUGAGGGAUGAAAGCUGGGGGAGCAAACCGGAUUAGAUACCCGGGUAGUCCCAGCUGUAAACUAUGCAAACUCAGUGAUGCACUGGCUUGUGGCCAGUGCAGUGUUGCAGGGAAGCCGUUAAGUUUGCCGCCUGGGAAGUACGUACGCAAGUAUG